Molecule: transfer RNA, 64 nt
Filed under: Lepidurus apus apus
Lineage: Eukaryota; Metazoa; Arthropoda; Branchiopoda; Notostraca; Triopsidae
Description: tRNA-Cys
Source: RNAcentral
GAUUUUAUAGUUUAAUAAAAAAAUUUGAGAGUGCAAAUCUUAAGAUGCAAAAUGGCUAAAAUCU